Molecule: unclassified non-coding RNA, 445 nt
Filed under: Hevea brasiliensis (rubber tree)
Lineage: Eukaryota; Viridiplantae; Streptophyta; Magnoliopsida; Malpighiales; Euphorbiaceae
Source: RNAcentral
AGCAACAGCCUUUGCAGUUUCUGGUCUGUUUUUCUUUAUAUACUCCUCAUCUUAGUUAAAAUCUCACUUAAGUACUAGGAUAUAAACAUGCAUCAACUUUAUCUGUUUCCUAUUCUUUCCUGAUCAUUCUUUCGCAUGGAAUUUGUUGAUACUGAUUUUGAACUCUCAAACAAUUAUUUUUGAAACACUUCCUCACAAUAUUUUAUAUCAUGCAGAAGGCUAUUUGUUUAGUGGAAUAAAAGGCUUCAGAAUGCUAACUGAUCAUGAACAAUUUAUAACUACCGAGGUUUUAGUGAUUGUGUGCACUUAUCAUUAUGCUGAAUGCUUUCAUAUACUAAUUUGUCUGUGUUUAUGUUUCUACUAUUUCUUCUUUCUACGUAGUUCAUUGUUUUUAGUAGGGGAAAAAAAGCAUUAAUUUCCUCAUGAUUUUAUUUUAUUUUAUUUU